AAGAGAUUAGUUUAAAAAAAACAUAAACUUGUCAAGUUUAAAAUAUUCAUUAAAAUAUUUCUUU
This 64-nucleotide transfer RNA is filed under the name Doratura homophyla. Its description in RNAcentral is "tRNA-Asp". The record is from RNAcentral. Lineage: Eukaryota; Metazoa; Arthropoda; Insecta; Hemiptera; Cicadellidae.